Molecule: long non-coding RNA, 233 nt
Filed under: Lathyrus oleraceus (garden pea)
Lineage: Eukaryota; Viridiplantae; Streptophyta; Magnoliopsida; Fabales; Fabaceae
Description: Pisum sativum (pea) long non-coding RNA (PSAT_LNC023523)
Source: RNAcentral
UCACUAAAAAAUCCUAAAAAGAAAAUAAAAUCAAUCUUUUCAUCUGCAUAAUGAUUUGCUUUGUUUGAAUUCUGAAAUCUCUUUUAUAUCCAAAAUCAUUAUGCAGGUUGAUCAAACCCAUUGAACAUAAUGAUCCAACACCAUCUCCCAACUUUUCAUCUGCAUAAUGAUUUGCUUUGUUUGAAUUCUGAAAUCUCUUUUAUAUCCAAAAUCAUUAUGCAGGUUGAUCAAAC